AUGGUUGGUGCUGGUUCCAAUGCUAUUCUUGCCCGCGUUAUGAUGCCAAACUGACCUAAACCACCAAGAACACCAUUAAAUAAGUCGCUGUUCUGCCUCUUUGUACAGUUUAGGAUCUCGCCUUUUCCUGCAGUCAAUAAAUAGGCAUGACAUUAGUGGGUAGCUAUUCUCGGGAAUCUCUUCAUGUUGUUAAUAGUCACCAACCAUAUAGAGUCUAUGCUUUCAAAACACGAAUACUGCAACUCUGAACUAACCUGUGACAAUCUCCAGUUGAUGAACAUUGCUGAUCUGUGGUCCAUGUCGGAAUGCCUGGCCGCUUAUUCCAGCAUUGGACAGAGUACCACCUACAGUUAAAUGCAGGUAAUCCGUCCAUGAUUUUGGUGCAAGCCCGUACUUGAGGGUCUCAUGCAAAAUGUUUAUCCACAGCUCACCACCAGACACAUCAACAUAUGGAGCAGGGGAAUCCACACUGUAGACCUGCAGCUUCUGGGGAUGGAGUGAUUCCAUGUGUAUAACAAUUCCAUGUCUUGUUUGAGCUUGGCCUUGGAGUGAAUGUCCACGACCUCUCGCUGCCACUGUAAGCUGUGAAUGAGUGCCCAUCAUCCAGAUGUGUCGUAUCGUUGAGGCGAUGUCGCUUACCGAUUUGGGAUGUAAGACCGCCAAAGGGAUCAACUGGUAUCGAUUUCCAAAAUCUUUGGAGGCGUGAUGGACAUGUUCAAACUCCAAAUGGCCUACUAGGGGAAGCGCCUUCAAAGAAGAAAUGCUGCUAGAGAAGCAGCAAGCCAACUUAAAGGCUAUGCAGCUGAGAAGCAAGAUGGUGAAACUUCUUACUAUAAGCAUGGUUCUUUUCCUGAGGAGGCUUGCAUGUAGAUAGCUCAUAAGGCCUCUUGAUUUCUGAGAGACAAGAGUAUAGAAACCAAGGAUGGAAAAGGGUUUUUGAUCUUAUAAAUAAAUAAAUAAAAAAGUAGUGUGAUUUCUGAAUGGCCGAGGCAACCAAUCUCCGAAUGGGGACUGAUUGUCUAACAAAGGGUUAUAAAUAGCUUUAUAGUUGAGGCCUCUCCCUUUCUUUGUUGGCGGAGAGAAGCCAUAAAGGAGGAGCCUAGUUGAAGGAAAAAGUCACAAGAAAGAAAGAUCUCACGAAUCUUUUUAUCUUUUGAUAACAGUUACACCCACAAUCUUGGCUUUUUCAAAGAAAAGGCAGACAAGAUCAUACCAUAACACUUUUACUUUGAAACUUACCAUUUGAAGGAUUCCCUUUAUUUAUUUAUCCUCUUAUCCCAUAUGUUUCCAGUCGUAGGUAUGGUAUUUGCUUUUUAGGCUGAGAUGUAUUAUAUGUGGUCUUUUUCAGGCUUUUGACUCAGAUGAAGCGCAAAAAGGAUUGGUUCCUGUAUCAUCCGUGAGAGUAAAAGAAUGGUGGAACGUGCAAGGGAAAAAAUCCUUGUGCUCUCUGUGGGAAAAUAGGAGGCAAUUUCACUAGUGUUGGGACCCAACAACACAAUCCUUGUAAACUAAAAGAGGCUGUGGCAGCUCAAAGCAAAGCAACCAAUGAGUGGAUAACAGAGAGGGACUCACUGCUUCUUCAGAUAGAAUCAUCUGGAGUGGUCCAUUUAUUUUUAUUACUACUUACUAUCUCUUUGGCACGAGUUACUUUCAGUUUCUUCAAGAUUAGGAUCAUUCUUCAAUGGAGCCAGCAAUAGUAAUCAGAAAGGUAUAAAAAUGUUAUGGAGAAGGAUUAAAAAAGAAAAGAGAGAGAGAGAGAGAGAGACUGGUGACAAAAGGUGGCCCAGUGGAGAUUGUGCACCCAUUAGAAAUCUCGAGUGUAGGAGUAGGGUCAAAGAGAGAUGAUGGUUUGACCAGUCCAGUUUUGAACAGAGAGUGAAGAAAGAAGUUGGGCUCUUCUCAACUCCAUUGGUGCGGUGGUGGGCAUUGCAGAAUGAGGUGUGUGAACUGAAAACAGAGUUGGUGGAAAUGGUUGGUCUCUAGAAGCAGAGGAGAAGCGACCAGAGAGCACUAGCGGGAGAGUCGUGGGGCAUAGCUUGUCCCAAGCAAAAUCUUGGUCCCAAUAUAAAAUAUGCCUUUGAACAUUUGUCAGCCAAAGUGUCGAAGGGACGGCUAUGGUGGUGUUGGAAGUGGAUUGGUCCACGACUGUGACCUCUCUGCUGACUUGUCACCUUAUACUAUAAUUGGUGCGUUCUUCCCACCUUCACGUGGCUUUGUUCCCCCAUUAACGUUUUUUUUUCCACCUCAAAAAAAAUAAAAGUGUGUGUUGUGUCUACCUCUCUCGUUUUCUUUUUACAGUUUGGAAGAUAUUAUUAUAUGAUUCUGUUUUUCAAAGAAAAAGACUACUGGAGUAUGAUCCGCUUUUCUUUGCAUAUUUUUGAAAAUUACAAAUCACAAGUUUUUCUUUGAUCAUCUUU
This 2417-nucleotide long non-coding RNA is filed under the name Arabidopsis thaliana (thale cress). RNAcentral describes it as "potential natural antisense gene, locus overlaps with AT3G63440 (AT3G63445)". The record is from RNAcentral. Lineage: Eukaryota; Viridiplantae; Streptophyta; Magnoliopsida; Brassicales; Brassicaceae.